Sapajus apella (tufted capuchin) is the source of this 1094-nucleotide long non-coding RNA. RefSeq lists it as uncharacterized. The record is from RefSeq and is a predicted model, not a curated record. Lineage: Eukaryota; Metazoa; Chordata; Mammalia; Primates; Cebidae. The transcript is spliced from 3 exons.
GCAAGUGUAGGCAUGCCCCAAAGAAAUGUCAGAUGUGGUACAAGGAUCAUUAUACCCAUAUAAGAAGUCUUGCAAUCAGGUUUUUCCCUUCAUUCUGUGUGAUAAUUUCUUCAGCUGGAAAAUAGUGAUCACUGUGCCCAGCUCACAGCGCCCUAUGAUAACGUCUGUGUUUUCUAAACUGUAAAACACCAUGCAAACACAAGACAUAGACGUCCUUCUCCUCGUAGCAUCAGAAUUCCAUGUGGCUUCCUUUUCCUCCUUCUCUCUCCCAGGUCCUUCAAAUGUGGCUUUUCCCACUGAGUUUAUUGCUCCCUGCCCAUUUCCUGCCUUUCCUUAUUACAAGGAGAAUUGGCUCUCUGGGCAGGGCUCCCUAUGCCAGUUGGCAGACAAAGUCCUUAGAAGGCAGAUGCUCCAAUUCUGACAUCACCACCAAAAUCUCUCCUAGUUUUCUGAGAAGAGCCCUCCCCUACCCCCAUCUUGCAAGGGAACUGGCACCUUUCUUUCCCUGUCUCUCUGUCCCUCCCACCUCAUUUUCCCUCUGAAGGAGGUAGUUCAUUCCCCUCCUUAGUUCCCCAGUGGGGACUGAGUUUGCCAGCAGAAACACCCUCUCUUUUCUUCCCUCUCUGCCUGCCUCUCCUUCUCCCCUUUCCUCCCCAUCUGAUCCAUGAAAGUUUUACAAAGGACUUUGACUUGGGCCAAGAGAAAACAAAAGAUUAGGAGAGAAGAGUCUAGUGAAUGCAUGGUUUGAUUUGAAAUUUGCCAUAUUGCCAGGGAUAUUUUGACUACACAGCUUGUAGUUUCCUUUGUGAAUUCUCAGAUACCCCAGGCUGACUCCUUUUCUUUUUCUUUCCUGGAUGAGUCUUCUCUUCAAUUAUGUGCCCUCAUCUUUCGGUUCUAGGAUUGGCCUUCAGCCCCUGACACUAUUCUCCCUAAACUUAAGGUAUCCAUUUGUUUAAUGGUAAUGAAUGUAGUGAUGAAUGAUAUAAGUUGUUAAUUGGCUAAGGAAUUUAGAAAGAUGGUGGUUUUCAUUAUGUCAGUUUCAGCAACUUAAGACAGUUUCACAGUUAUUCAUCAAUGAUUUUUCCCCCAAAUGU